AAGGAUCAUUACCGAAUUGUCAACACGAGUUGUUGCUGGUCCUCAAAUGGGGGCAUGUGCACGCUCUGUUUGCACAUCCACUCACACCUGUGCACCCUCCGUAGUUCUGCAGCCUGGGGGCUCUGUCCCCCUGCUGUGGUUCUAUGUAUUUACACACACACACUGUAAUAAAGUCUCAUGGAAUGCAUGUCGCGUUUAACGCAAUACAAUACAACUUUCAGCAACGGAUCUCUUGGCUCUC
Molecule: unclassified non-coding RNA, 241 nt
Filed under: uncultured fungus
Lineage: Eukaryota; Fungi
Description: partial contains 18S rRNA, ITS1, 5.8S rRNA, ITS2 and 28S rRNA
Source: RNAcentral